RNAcentral lists this ribosomal RNA (758 nucleotides) under Brachaluteres jacksonianus (pigmy leatherjacket). RNAcentral's name for it is "partial 12S ribosomal RNA". It matches the Rfam family "Bacterial small subunit ribosomal RNA", at positions 29 to 1348 of the family's 1533-position model. The record is from RNAcentral. Lineage: Eukaryota; Metazoa; Chordata; Actinopteri; Tetraodontiformes; Monacanthidae.
UCUAUCAACUCUAACCUAACUUACACAUGCAAGUAUCCGCACCCCUGUGAGAAUGCCCCACAGUUUCCUAAAGGAAACAAGGAGCUGGCAUCAGGCACAAUAUAGCCCAAGACGCCUUGCUUAGCCACACCCCCAAGGGUCCUCAGCAGUGAUAAAUAUUAAGCCAUAAGUGAAAACUUGACUUAGUUAAGGUUAGGGCCGGUAAAACUCGUGCCAGCAACCGCGGUUACACGAAAGGCCCAAGAUGACAGACAUCGGCACAAAGCGUGGUUAGGAGCCUUUACAAAGUAAAGUCGAAUGUUUGCAAGGCUGUUAUACGCCCCCGAAAAUAAGAAGCACAACGACGAAAGUGACUUUACAACUUCUGAACCCACGAAAGCUAAGGCACAAACUGGGAUUAGAUACCCCACUAUGCCUAGCCCUAAAUAUUGAUAGCUAAUUCUUCUAUCCGCCCGGGGACUACGAGCGUAAGCUUAAAACCCAAAGGACUUGGCGGUGCUUUAGAUCCACCUAGAGGAGCCUGUUCUAGAACCGAUACCCCCCGUUAAACCUCACCUUUUCUUGUUUAACCCGCCUAUAUACCACCGUCGUCAGCUUAUCCUGUGAAGGCUAACUAAUAAACAAAAUUGGCACACCCCAAAACGUCAGGUCGAGGUGUAGCGUACGAAAAGGGAAGAAAUGGGCUACAUUUUCUAUUUAGAAUAAACGGAUGAUAAACUGAAAACGUAUCUAAAGGAGAAUUUAGUAGUAGGAGGAAU